RNAcentral lists this ribosomal RNA (323 nucleotides) under Rhogostoma sp. RNAcentral's name for it is "SSU rRNA". The stretch from base 113 to 323 matches the Rfam family "Eukaryotic small subunit ribosomal RNA", at positions 743 to 955 of the family's 1831-position model. Lineage: Eukaryota; Cercozoa; Thecofilosea; Cryomonadida; Rhogostomidae. The record is from RNAcentral.
GACUUAUGGUACAAUGCACCUGGCCCGCGGCCCAUUAGGCCUGUGAGUGCCGGCGCGCGUUUACCAUCCUUCUGGGAAACAGGUCUACCAUUAACUUGGUUGGAUUUGUGAUCCAGAUCUUUUACUUUGAAAAAAUUAGAGUGUUUAAAGCAGGCUUUUGCCAUGAAUACAUUAGCAUGGAAUAAUAAUCUAGGACUUCGGUUCUAUUUUGUUGGUUUCUAUAACUGAAGUAAUGAUUGAUAGGGAUAGUUGGGGGUGCUAGUAUUGGCCGGUCAGAGGUGAAAUUCUUGGAUUCGGUCAAGACUAACUUAUGCGAAAGCAUU